GGUGGCUCAGUGGUAAAGUGCUUGCCUUGCAUGCAUGAGGCCCUGGGUUCAAUGCCUCAGCACCA
This is a non-coding RNA of Dipodomys ordii (Ord's kangaroo rat), 65 nucleotides long. Lineage: Eukaryota; Metazoa; Chordata; Mammalia; Rodentia; Heteromyidae. The record is from Rfam.